GAUGAACGCUGGCGGCGUGCUUAACACAUGCAAGUCGAACGGAAACGCCCUGCUUUUGUUGGGUGCUCGAGUGGCGAACGGGUGAGUAAUACGUGAGUAACCUGCCCUUGACUUUGGAAUAACUUCCGGAAACCGGUGUUAAUACCCGAUAGAAGCUCCUGUUGCAUGGUGGGGGCUGGAGAGUUUGUGCGGUUGGGGAUGGACUCGCGGGUUAUCAGCCUGGUUGUGGGGGAGGGGCUGACCGAGGCGUCUGGAGGUCGAGGGCCUGUGAGAGUGACAGGCGACACUGGGACUGAGAUACGGCCCCGAGUCCUACGGGAGGGAGGAGUGGGGAAUAUUGCACAAUGGGCGGCAGCGUGAUGCAGAAACGCCGCGUGCGGGAUAGCGGCGUUCGGGUGGUAAAAAGCUUUCGCCUGAGACGAGGCGGGAGUGACGGUAAUGGGUAAAGAAGCACCGGCUAACUACGUG
RNAcentral lists this ribosomal RNA (468 nucleotides) under uncultured bacterium. RNAcentral's name for it is "partial 16S ribosomal RNA". It matches the Rfam family "Bacterial small subunit ribosomal RNA", at positions 28 to 507 of the family's 1533-position model. The record is from RNAcentral.